RNAcentral lists this unclassified non-coding RNA (94 nucleotides) under plant metagenome. RNAcentral describes it as "partial contains 5.8S ribosomal RNA, internal transcribed spacer 2, and large subunit ribosomal RNA". The record is from RNAcentral.
AUCGAGUUCCAGCGCUUCGGCCGACACGUCCGCAUCGCCGAGAGCGUGCUCAACGCCUACAUCGCUACCUGCACCAUCGCCCCGAUCACACGUC